This is a long non-coding RNA of Gadus macrocephalus (Pacific cod), 583 nucleotides long. RefSeq lists it as uncharacterized. NCBI's taxonomy places the organism in Eukaryota, Metazoa, Chordata, Actinopteri, Gadiformes, Gadidae. The transcript has 2 exons. The record is from RefSeq and is a predicted model, not a curated record.
CCAGGUCCUGGUCUCAUGAGGCCGGACCAGGUCCUGGUCUCAUGAGGCCGGACCAGGUCCUGGUCUCACGAGGGCGGACCAGGUCCUGGUCUCACGAGGCCGGACCAGGUCCUGGUCUCACGAGGCCGGACCAGGUCCUGGUCUCACGAGGCCGGACCAGGUCCAGGUCCUGGGUCUGGGUCUCAUGAGUCCUGGGUCCUGGGUCUCAUGAGGCCGGACCAGGUCCAGGUCCUGGGUCUCAUGAGACUGCCCUGGACCAGGUCCUGGGUCUCAUGAGGCCUUUACACUGCCGAGCCGGUUCGGUCGUGGCUUGGCACGCCCGGCAAUUUCCCUGUCUUGCCUGUAAAACCGAGGAGGUGAAAUCCCCCGUCGUCCCGGAGCCGGCUGUCUUGGUUCACUGGAGAAGGCGGGGCUACGCACGGAGAGUAGCCCUCUUAAGAGGCCUAUCAUUUGCAUACAACGAAUGUUAUCAUUUUUUAUGACUAGAGAUUUGCAUGCAAGAAUGAGUUCACAUCUGAGUGUAGGCUAAAAACUAUUUCCAAGUGCAAAAACGACCACAUAUUAUUUUAUUUUGCUGACCACU